UCACUACUUCAUGCUUGUGACAAAGACAUGUGCUCUCAGCUUCCUGCUCCUGCUGCCCUGCCUGCCGCUUGCUGUCAUCCUCCCGGCCAUGAUGGACUCUUAUCCCUCUGGAACCAAAGUACUUAUAAAAAUGAUGAGAGAGAGAGGAAGAAAGAGAGACUGUUGGACCCAGACAGCAAGCAGUGGUUCCCGACAGAGUCUGGAGAGAAGGCGCAGAGCAGCCUCCAGGCGGGCACCGACCUGGCUCCUGUCCACUGCCCACUGCCCACCUUCCCCAGCGGGCGCCCAGCCUUGGGGGUGCCAGCACCCCAUCAGCCACACGCGCGCAGGCUCUGCA
Molecule: long non-coding RNA, 337 nt
Organism: Nannospalax galili (Upper Galilee mountains blind mole rat)
Lineage: Eukaryota; Metazoa; Chordata; Mammalia; Rodentia; Spalacidae
Exons: 3
Source: RefSeq, a predicted model, not a curated record